RNAcentral lists this long non-coding RNA (361 nucleotides) under Mytilus galloprovincialis (Mediterranean mussel). The record is from RNAcentral. Lineage: Eukaryota; Metazoa; Mollusca; Bivalvia; Mytilida; Mytilidae.
CAUUUAUCCUAUUUAUCAUCAAUUUUACAAGAAGCAAGAGACCGAAGGUAUAUACUACGCAAUUUAUACGCGUCGUAAGUGUGUGAGAAUAUGCUUGACACUUUUACUGUAAAUAUGAAAUACCCUUCGUUUAUUUCAGAAUGACAUUACUACAAUGAAUCCUAGACGAACGUUCCCACACCUGUGACGUGCAUUGUAUUAAACUCACAAUAAAUUAACGUUUCACAUGUAUAUUACAUGGAUUACUAUUAAAAAGUCAUCAUAAAGUAGUUCUUGCGUAAGAACACUAAAUAUUUCAUGAAUGCAACAUGCAUAUUCGCACGCAGUUCAAUACUAGUAUUAUGAAUGCAGUCGUGACAAC